Molecule: ribosomal RNA, 512 nt
Filed under: uncultured bacterium
Lineage: Bacteria
Description: partial 16S ribosomal RNA
Rfam family: Bacterial small subunit ribosomal RNA
Source: RNAcentral
GAUGAACGCUGGCGGCGUGCCUAAUACAUGCAAGUCGAACGAAACUUCUUUAUCACCGAGUGCUUGCGCUCACCGAUAAAGAGUUGAGUGGCGAACGGGUGGGUAACACGUGGGCAACCUGCCCAAAAGAGGGGGAUAACACUUGGAAACAGGUGCUAAUACCGCAUAACCAUAGUUACCGCAUGGUAACUAUGUAAAAGGUGGCUAUACUACCGCUUUUGGAUGGGCCCGCGGCGCAUUAGCUAGUUGGUAGGGUAAAGGCUUACCAAGGCAAUGAUGCGUAGCCGAAUUGAGAGGUUGAUCGGCCACAUUGGGACUGAGACACGGCCCAAACUCCUACGGGAGGCAGCAGUAGGGAAUCUUCCACAAUGGGCGAAAGCCUGAUGGAGCAACGCCGCGUGGGUGAAGAAGGUCUUCGGAUCGUAAAACCCUGUUGUUAGAGAAGAAAGUGCGUGAGAGUAACUGUUCACGUUUCGACGGUAUCUAACCAGAAAGCCACGGCUAACUACGUG